AAGCUGGCGGCGUGCUUUAUGCAUGCAAGUCGAACGGCCUCGUUUCGGGGUGAAGGAGAUGGCGAACGGGUGAGUAACACGUAAGUAACCUGCCCUUAAGUGGAGAAUAACCCUGGGAAACUAGGGCUAAUACUGCAUGUGGUCCUUUGCUUGAAGGUGAAGGAUUAAAGCCUUCGGGCGCUUAGGGAUGGGCUUGCGUCCGAUUAGCUAGUUGGUAAGGUAACGGCCUACCAAGGCGAUGAUCGGUAGCUGGUUUGAGAGGACGGUCAGCCACACUGGGACUGAGAUACGGCCCAGACUCCUACGGGAGGCAGCAGCAAGGAAUUUUGCGCAAUGGGCGAAAGCCUGACGCAGCGACGCCGCGUGGGGGAAGAAGGCUUUCGAGUCGUAAACCCCUUUUAUCAGGGAAGAAAAAUGACGGUACCUGAGGAAUAAGUCUCGGCUAACUACGUGCCAGCAGCCGCGGUAAUACGUAGGAGGCAAGCGUUAUCCGGAUUCAUUGGGCGUAAAGAGGGCGUAGGCGGCUUUUCAAGUCGGAUGUAAAAUCUCCCGGCUUAACCGGGAGGGAUCACUCGAUACUGUUGAGCUAGAGGGCAGCAGAGGGAGACGGAAUUCCCGGUGGAGUGGUGAAAUGCGUAGAUAUCGGGAGGAACACCAGUGGCGAAGGCGGUCUCCUGGGCUGUUCCUGACGCUGAGGCCCGAAAGCGUGGGUAGCGAACAGGAUUAGAUACCCUGGUAGUCCCGCUGUAAACGAUGGAUACUAGGUAUGGGGAGUACGAGCCUUUCCGUGCCGUAGCUAACGCUUAAGUUCCCGCCUGGGGAGUACGCCGCAAGGCUAAAACUACAAAGAAUUGAACG
This 858-nucleotide ribosomal RNA is filed under the name uncultured bacterium. Its description in RNAcentral is "16S ribosomal RNA". It matches the Rfam family "Bacterial small subunit ribosomal RNA", at positions 33 to 916 of the family's 1533-position model. The record is from RNAcentral.